Molecule: ribosomal RNA, 253 nt
Filed under: uncultured microorganism
Description: partial 16S ribosomal RNA
Rfam family: Bacterial small subunit ribosomal RNA
Source: RNAcentral
UACGUAGGGUGCGAGCGUUAAUCGGAUUUACUGGGCGUAAAGCGUGCGCAGGCGGCCCGUUAAGACAGGUGUGAAAUCCCUGGGCUCAACCUAGGAAUUGCGCUUGUGACUGGCGGGCUCGAGUACGGUAGAGGGGGGUGGAAUUCCUGGUGUAGCAGUGAAAUGCGUAGAGAUCAGGAGGAACACCGGUGGCGAAGGCGGCCCCCUGGGCCUGUACUGACGCUCAUGCACGAAAGCGUGGGGAGCAAACAGG